Molecule: long non-coding RNA, 411 nt
Organism: Oxyura jamaicensis (ruddy duck)
Lineage: Eukaryota; Metazoa; Chordata; Aves; Anseriformes; Anatidae
Exons: 3
Source: RefSeq, a predicted model, not a curated record
GCGGGGGCUACGCCGCGACGAAAAGGAGGGCCGCUGCAGUGCGCCUGGAAGCCUGGGGCGUGGGCCCAGUUGGAGCCUCCACAGGUGCAGAUCUUGGUGGUAGUAGCAACUAUUCAAAUGAGAGCUUUGAAGGCCGAAGUGGAUCAGGGUUCCAUGUGAACAGCAGUUGAACAUGGGUCAGUCGGUCCUAAGCGAUAGGUGAGCGCCAUUCCGAAGGGACGGGCGAUGGCCUCUGUUGCCCUUGGCCGAUCGAAAGCAAGUCAGGUUCAGAUCCCCGAAUCCGGAGCGGUGGAGAUGGGCGCCACGAGGCGCCCAGUGCGGUAAUGCAAGCAAUCCCGGAGAAGUCGGCGGGAGCCCCGGGGAGAGUUCUCUUUUCUUUGUGAAGGGCCAGGCCCUCUGGACCUGGUCCCC